GACGAACGCUGGCGGCGUGCUUAACACAUGCAAGUCGAACGGAAAGGCCCUGCUUUUGUGGGGUGCUCGAGUGGCGAACGGGUGAGUAACACGUGAGUAACCUGCCCUUGACUUUGGGAUAACUUCAGGAAACUGGGGCUAAUACCGGAUAGGAGCUCCUGCGGCAUGGUGGGGGUUGGAAAGUUUCGGCGGUUGGGGAUGGCCUCGCGGCUUAUCAGCUUGUUGGUGGGGUAGUGGCUUACCAAGGCUUUGACGGGUAGCCGGCCUGAGAGGGUGACCGGCCACAUUGGGACUGAGGUACGGCCCAGACUGCUACGGGAGGCAGCAGUGGGGAAUAUUGCACAAUGGGCGGAAGCCUGAUGCAGCAACGCCGCGUGCGGGAUGACGGCCUUCGGGUUGUAAACCGCUUUCGCCUGUGACGAAGCGUGAGUGACGGUAAUGGGUAAAGAAGCACCGGCUAACUACGUG
Molecule: ribosomal RNA, 468 nt
Filed under: uncultured bacterium
Lineage: Bacteria
Description: partial 16S ribosomal RNA
Rfam family: Bacterial small subunit ribosomal RNA
Source: RNAcentral